CCAUUGACGGGGUGAGACGAGAUGAUCCCUGAAGAAGCACGACCUUGUUGGAGAGCUUGGCGUCGGCAUGAUCAUGACCAAUUGAUGCUUCUCCUCGUCAUGGAGGAACUCUCCUCCUAUCCUAUCGCUCGUGCCAAGCAAGUGAUGACCGUCCCGAGUACUGGACGUAGAUCAAAGCCAUCUCGGAAUCCUCCAUCAAAGCCUCUUCCAUUACUGGGCACGAGCUUCCUUGUCGGCAACGUCUCACCAUUUCCAUCUCGUUUCUGUUCUUGUGAAGAUUGCGCCGGUUGCGGCAUGCUCGCAAGUAACAAAGCCUUGCUGUCCCCGAGCUUAUCUUGGUGUGAACUGUGCUUCACUUAACUCCCAAAACAUGUAGAACUCGGUAGUG
RNAcentral lists this long non-coding RNA (388 nucleotides) under Brassica napus (rape). Its description in RNAcentral is "long non-coding RNA (BNAP_LNC017465)". Lineage: Eukaryota; Viridiplantae; Streptophyta; Magnoliopsida; Brassicales; Brassicaceae. The record is from RNAcentral.